UAAAAGUUUUCACUUUUAAUUCGACUGUAAAAUUUCUUUCAUUUUGUCGUUCUCGUGUAACCGUGUUCGCCUAAGUCCAAAAUGUAAACAAACGUUUUGGUGAUUCCGGUGAGUGGAGGUCCACAACGACUAUCAAAACCGAACGCGGCCGCUGCCAGGACUUGGACGCGGAAACCUUCGAAAGAGGAUGGUGCGGGCUCGGGUGCGGGUGCGGAACAAGGUUGGGAGAUUAGGGGAAAGUUGGUGUUCAAAAGGAUAAGGCCAUGGCUGCAGCUUCCAGCUGGACCUGCAGCUGUUUCACGACCGAAAUGGGACGCCGUUUAUGUGGUUGCCGAAGAUCGGAGAUCGGGAUGUGGAUUUGCACCGGUUGUAUUCGGUGGUAGUGUCCCGGGGUGGGUAGAAGUGAUUGACGUUGAAAAAGUUAAUUUUCACGGUGAGGAGAAGGAUCCGACGGAAGAGGGAAACGACGAGUAGCGGCAUAAUCGGUGGUGGUCAGCGCGGAUGUUGCACUCGUUGCCGGCGGUUUACGACCAUCAGCAGCAUUAUGUGCCAGAAGUGAUGACGGGACAGUGUGGGAUGUCCCGAGGGUCCGCAGUCCAUUUCUCGUUGCGGGACGAGUAUUACCUAAACAUCCGGAAGAACAGUUUGCACUAGUUCUGGAAGGACCGUCUGUACGAAAGCCGCAGGUCCUGGAGCUGUCGUACUCAGAUUACUUCCAGAGGUUGGAGCGAGAUCCGACGAACCUGAUCAAAAACAUCUACCUGGAAUACCGAAGAAGUUACAGCAACUCCCGCCCGCAAACGCUCCCGCCCGCAACGGCGCAGCUUCGGCCGGAUGAACUUUGACGGCGAGUUGGCAAUAUCUGUAUCAUUCUCGAAGGAGGACGUAGUGAUCGUGAACAAC
Long non-coding RNA from Culex pipiens pallens (northern house mosquito), 903 nucleotides. RefSeq lists it as uncharacterized. The record is from RefSeq and is a predicted model, not a curated record. NCBI's taxonomy places the organism in Eukaryota, Metazoa, Arthropoda, Insecta, Diptera, Culicidae. The transcript has 3 exons.